CUUGUAUGGGUGGCGUGCAAGGUCCCUAUACCAUUCUAUUUAUGAACCUAUUCAUGAACCAGUAUUCUAUUUAUGAACCAGUCUAUUUAUGAACCUUGGGUGGCGUGUAACAAAAUUAAGUCAAAUUUAGAGGUUAGGUCUCGUUUUGGUUGAAAUGUGUGAAUUUCGAAGUAUGGAUCACCAAACUUUUUCAGAAGUCUUUAGAAGGAAUCAAUACAGUGGAAUUUCUGCAUAAAAUCAUCGUUUCACACGCCACCCAUGGGAAAACUUAAAACCACCUCAAACCACGGAGAGGCCAAUUUCCAACCAUUAGUCAGUUUGGGGGAACAAGCUUUUUGGGGGCAUUCCGGCUCCUUUUCGUCUUCGCACCUGGGUCUACAGGAGGCAUGGCUUUUGCACCAUCCUGGUGCUCAUUUCCGGGAAUGCAGCAGCAACGUCUUUAGGAGUCGUUCGGGUUUGUUUGGGAACAAUCAGUGUGCUGAUAUGAGUAACUAUUGUGGUUUAUAUUGCAGACAUUUGGUUGAUGUAUUAUGUUAAUAAUUUUUUUUCAGAUUUAGUUUGCAUUUAUUUGUUUUUUAUAUACAUAAAAUUUAAGUACGUUCCCAAACUCAUGUAUAAACCUGCGGUUUCCUAUGUUGAGCUCGGCAUAUUUGCCAAAAAGGUAUUAGGUUUUUAUAUUUUAUUGGUAAUUUAGUCGAUUUCAUGUCAUUUUGUAAAUUUAGGUUGUAUUAUUUGCUUGUUUCCUAAGUAUUUCGUCGUUACUUUAUUUCAUUGCAUUUGCUCGGUUAAUUUAAGUCGUUGUAUAUUUACCUAACUUCAUUUCUUUAGCGUUCAUUCAUUAACUUUGAUUAAUUCGUUGUAGAAUUUUCUCGUAGUCAGACCAAGUCAGACUCAUGCCUAUUUAUUUAUAUUAUUUUCAUCUUUGUCGGUUUCAAUUUAGUGGUACGUAGCAAGCGUACUAUAACCAUUUGGUAGAAAUCUCAUGUGAGUUAUACCCUAUGUAUAAGUAAGAGUUAUAUCUUUUUGUACAUACAUAUAACAGGACUGUUGUUAUAUGAUAUAUCACGUUUAACGGUAACUUUUGUCAUGUUAGAGUCACAUUUUAUGCAUUGUUUAACUCAGAGAUUGUCAAAAAUCUAGUAGUUAUUUUUUAAUAAAUGUUUAUUUAUUUUGAA
Diabrotica virgifera virgifera (western corn rootworm) is the source of this 1175-nucleotide long non-coding RNA. RefSeq lists it as uncharacterized. The transcript has 2 exons. The record is from RefSeq and is a predicted model, not a curated record. Lineage: Eukaryota; Metazoa; Arthropoda; Insecta; Coleoptera; Chrysomelidae.